UACGUAGGGCGCAAGCGUUGUCCGGAAUUAUUGGGCGUAAAGAGCUCGUAGGCGGCUUGUCACGUCGGAGGGGAAAGCCCGAGGCUUAACCUCGGGUCUGCAUUCGAUACGGGCUAGCUAGAGUGUGGUAGGGGAGAUCGGAAUUCCUGGUGUAGCGGUGAAAUGCGCAGAUAUCAGGAGGAACACCGGUGGCGAAGGCGGAUCUCUGGGCCAUUACUGACGCUGAGGAGCGAAAGCGUGGGGAGCGAACAGG
Molecule: ribosomal RNA, 253 nt
Filed under: uncultured bacterium
Lineage: Bacteria
Description: partial 16S ribosomal RNA
Rfam family: Bacterial small subunit ribosomal RNA
Source: RNAcentral